This 349-nucleotide long non-coding RNA is filed under the name Carica papaya (papaya). RNAcentral describes it as "long non-coding RNA (CPAP_LNC012835)". The record is from RNAcentral. Lineage: Eukaryota; Viridiplantae; Streptophyta; Magnoliopsida; Brassicales; Caricaceae.
CAGUAUGAUGCGAAGUAUUUAUACCCAUCUCGUGUUGAUCUGAACCAUCCAUCGCGAUCGAUCUCGUAUGUCCGAUUGCGCCUAAGGAGGAAACAAAUCUAGACCGUUCAUCGCGAUUAAUCUCGGUCGUUCGAUCGCGCCUAAGGAGAAAAUGAAUCUGCGUCUUCCACACGCGCGAGGUUGAUCUUAAACCGUCGAUCAUGGGGCACGCAGAUUGCCCGCGUGGCACCGACAUCAGCGUGUUUUGCCACACGGCGUGAUCUGGUUCGUCGAGACUGCUGACUGGGCGGUUCUACGUAGUUGAACUUUCUCUUUUCAUACUUUGACCUCUUAUUUUUAAUUUUUCUUU